This 245-nucleotide RNase P RNA is filed under the name Alphaproteobacteria bacterium. RNAcentral describes it as "partial RNase P RNA component class A". It matches the Rfam family "Bacterial RNase P class A", at positions 53 to 367 of the family's 367-position model. Rfam says of the family: Ribonuclease P (RNase P) is a ubiquitous endoribonuclease, found in archaea, bacteria and eukarya as well as chloroplasts and mitochondria. Its best characterised activity is the generation of mature 5'-ends of tRNAs by cleaving the 5'-leader elements of precursor-tRNAs. Cellular RNase Ps are ribonucleoproteins. The record is from RNAcentral. Lineage: Bacteria; Pseudomonadati; Pseudomonadota; Alphaproteobacteria.
UGGACACCACCGAGACAGCAUACAGGUUAACGACCUGGCGGGGCGACCCGACGAUUAGAGCAACAGAAACGAUCCUAUUAAGUUAGGCUGAAACGGGCAAUCUCUAUGCGGUGCAACUUCAAAUAGGCCCUCGUAUGGUGUGUCUCGCACUUGGGGGCGGGUAGAAGGCUUGACAUUCGCAGUAAUGCGAAAUGCAGAUUAAUUAUGCCAUAGAACAGAAUCCGGCUUAUUGGCUAUCUGAUUUU